UACGUAGGGUGCGAGCGUUGUCCGGAAUUAUUGGGCGUAAAGAGCUUGUAGGCGGUUUGUCGCGUCUACCGUGAAAAUCCGGGGCUCAACCCCGGACUUGCGGUGGGUACGGGCAGACUAGAGUGUGGUAGGGGAGACUGGAAUUCCUGGUGUAGCGGUGAAAUGCGCAGAUAUCAGGAGGAACACCGAUGGCGAAGGCAGGUCUCUGGGCCACUACUGACGCUGAGAAGCGAAAGCGUGGGGAGCGAACAGG
Molecule: ribosomal RNA, 253 nt
Filed under: uncultured bacterium
Lineage: Bacteria
Description: partial 16S ribosomal RNA
Rfam family: Bacterial small subunit ribosomal RNA
Source: RNAcentral